ACUACCACGCAGGACCCACUGGCAUACAUUACCUCCAGUCCUCAUAACUCCAUGAAGCAGGAUUUGAGGUUGUGGGAAACCAAGGACCAAGCUGAAUCUACCAAGGCUGACUCAAUCAUGAAAAAAAAAAUCAUACAAGACCAAAAUUGUCUCUUAAAUGAGGAUCGUUUAUUUUUGUUUUGUUUCACUUUUUCCCCCCUCUGGGUGGCCAUGGUGAAAAAUAAAAAGACGCUAUGACUGUG
Molecule: long non-coding RNA, 242 nt
Organism: Pan troglodytes (chimpanzee)
Lineage: Eukaryota; Metazoa; Chordata; Mammalia; Primates; Hominidae
Exons: 2
Source: RefSeq, a predicted model, not a curated record